AACGAACGCUGGCGGCAUGCUUAACACACGCAAGUCGAACGGGGUACAUGUGCUUGCACAUGUACUUAGGUGGCAGACGGGUGAGUAACGCGUGGGAACGUACCUUUUGGUUCAGGACAACGGCUGGAAACGGUCGCUAAUACUGAAUACGCCCUUAGGGGAAAGAUUUAUUGCCAAGAGAGCGGCCCGCGUUAGAUUAGGUAGUUGGUGGGGUAAUGGCUUACCAAGCCUGUGAUCUAUAGCUGGUUUGAGAGGAUGAUCAGCCACACUGGGACUGAGACACGGCCCAGACUCCUACGGGAGGCAGCAGUGGGGAAUAUUGGACAAUGGGGGCAACCCUGAUCUAGCGAUGCCGCGUGAGUGAUGAAGGCCC
This 373-nucleotide ribosomal RNA is filed under the name uncultured bacterium. RNAcentral's name for it is "bacterial SSU rRNA". It matches the Rfam family "Bacterial small subunit ribosomal RNA", at positions 29 to 417 of the family's 1533-position model. The record is from RNAcentral.